RNAcentral lists this ribosomal RNA (423 nucleotides) under uncultured Oscillibacter sp. RNAcentral's name for it is "bacterial SSU rRNA". It matches the Rfam family "Bacterial small subunit ribosomal RNA", at positions 355 to 794 of the family's 1533-position model. The record is from RNAcentral. Lineage: Bacteria; Bacillati; Bacillota; Clostridia; Eubacteriales; Oscillospiraceae.
UGGGGAAUAUUGGGCAAUGGACGCAAGUCUGACCCAGCAACGCCGCGUGAAGGAAGAAGGCUUUCGGGUUGUAAACUUCUUUUAAGGGGGAACAGUAGAAGAGGGUACCCCUUGAAUAAGCCACGGCUAACUACGUGCCAGCAGCCGCGGUAAUACGUAGGUGGCAAGCGUUGUCCGGAUUUAUUGGGUUUAAAGGGUGCGCAGGCGGCGUGCCAAGUCAGCGGUCAAAGUUCCGGGCUCAACCCGGUGAUGCCGUUGAAACUGGUGUGCUUGAGUGCGUGCGAGGGAGGCGGAAUGCGUUGUGUAGCGGUGAAAUGCAUAGAUAUGACGCAGAACUCCGAUUGCGAAGGCAGCUUUCCAGCACGCCACUGACGCUGAGGCACGAAAGCGUGGGGAUCGAACAGGAUUAGAUACCCUGGUAGU